UACGUAGGGGGCAAGCGUUGUCCGGAUUUAUUGGGCGUAAAGAGCGUGUAGGCGGCUUUACAGGUCCGUUGUGAAAACUCGAGGCUCAACCUCGAGACGCCGGUGGAAACCGUAAAGCUAGAGUCCGGAAGAGGAGAGUGGAAUUCCUGGUGUAGCGGUGAAAUGCGCAGAUAUCAGGAGGAACACCAAUAGCGAAGGCAGCUCGCUGGGACGUUACUGACACUGAGAUGCGAAAGCGUGGGGAGCAAACAGG
RNAcentral lists this ribosomal RNA (253 nucleotides) under uncultured bacterium. Its description in RNAcentral is "partial 16S ribosomal RNA". It matches the Rfam family "Bacterial small subunit ribosomal RNA", at positions 524 to 776 of the family's 1533-position model. The record is from RNAcentral.